Hemicordylus capensis (graceful crag lizard) is the source of this 1723-nucleotide long non-coding RNA. RefSeq lists it as uncharacterized. The transcript is spliced from 3 exons. The record is from RefSeq and is a predicted model, not a curated record. NCBI's taxonomy places the organism in Eukaryota, Metazoa, Chordata, Lepidosauria, Squamata, Cordylidae.
UUGAUGCAUUCAAUACAUCAAGCCGGGAAGGGGAUUAAAUAGAGGAUCACGCACAUGUGCGUUGGAGAAGGCAGGGGGCUUAGGCAGGUGUUGGGAGGAGCAGUGUGUGACAUGCGUAAACAUUGGAACGCAGGCGCCAUAAAAGGGGUUAUUAUUGCUGGGUGCCAAAGGAAGGGUAAGAUGGCGCCCUUAGGCCGCCCUAUUACACUAGGCGAUACCGAGCGCGCCACUUUCCUAGGAGUCUGGUAAAAUGGCAGAUGUGUGUUUAUGGCGGGAGUAAACAGAAAGCCAAUUUUCUAGGUUGUUUGCACGCAGAUGCUUCCCGACAAAUUCAGUGUCGUGCGUUGCAGACGAUUCAGAUAGAGAGCAGUUAUGCAGCCCGAUCCUAUGCGUCUUUGGUGUAAGUCACAGAGUUCAACAGGACUCACUGCCAGCGAAAAAGAAGGAAGGUGCUCAAGCGCGGUGAAUUUCAAGGACUUCUGUCACCGGCGAAGCAAAAGGCGGGCGGAGAGAGGAAGCCCAUUGUAAAAGCCUGGGAUCUUUCACAUCAGCCUCUUCAAUCUUACCCUGGAAAAGGACAGGGGGAGAAGCAGACCCGAGGCCUCUGUUUUGCCAGUACUUCACGAAGCACCUUCUUAAUCAGAGUCCCAUGGCGGUGCUCUUUCAAAGUUCAGCUUUUUCCUUUCCCUGGUUCCAGUUCUCUCUCCCAGAGCUCACGUGCGCACGCGCGCGCACACCUUGAACGUCUAGAUAGCACGUUACACGGCUUCUGACUGGCACACGGCUAUGCUUGGAAUAAAAUGCGGGCAGCGUGCAUUUUGCUAGCGAGCGCGGUAGACUGCAGAAGGCGGAGAAGCUUAGUUUGCAUCUGCAAUCCUCUGCUCGGCUUUCCCUGCCUAAGUAUUUUGCUUUUUAAAUGAAAGUGGAAUCCAAAUGGAGUUAGUCAUUUGGUGAACAUGGCUGAGGGGCUUCUGAGCUGAGAUAUUUAUACUGGCAGCACAGUUGCGGUAUAGUCAAGAUGAGUUUUUCAACAUUCCACCAUUAUAAGCCUUGAAUAUUCUAUUGCUUAUUAUAAAGUCAAAAGUAUCCCCCCACACACACACAAUCCCUCUGAAAUCGUGCACACAUAACAUAACCUAGGCGACACCACCCCUCCAAAUUUGGUGCAAAUCUGUUGCAAAAUGGCUGAACUACAACAGUUUAAGUUUUUAAUUUCUAAAAAGAGGUUUCAAAGUUUUGGCGACCGUUUCUCACCACAGAUAAUGUAUAUUUUAAAAUGUCGGAUGUCUUUUUAGCAUUCCCCUCAAAUUCAGGUCCAUAAGGGACUGGUGCCUUUUGCUUGUUUGAAAAACAUCAGUCUAGUGAUUUUUGAGUAAUUACUGUUCAAAAUCCCCAUAACUAAGGGGAAGUGAGCUAAGAGCAUAACUAAGUCUGCCCACAGACAAUUCUGAAGUCAAAGCUGGGAAGGGCAAAUCCUGGCAAUUUCUAGCAAGUUACUUCCUGGUUCUGAACAUAGGUGCCUGAUAAGAACAUUCUAUGAGCACUCUGGCACUUGUAUAGUUAAACAAGCAUUACUCCCACUCCCUUUCCUUCCAUGGGCAUUUGUUUUCUCCCUCUGCCCACUUUCUCUCCCCCCACCAAAGCGGGGAAGCAGAGGCCCUCAGCAAAGCUUUGAACAAAUUACUAGGAAGUAUGUCCAUUAAGUCCACUGGAGCUUACUUCU